UCCAACCCGACCCAAUUUCAAACUCUAUUUGAAAUCUCACCCAUUAUUUUGCUUUCUGUAUUUAUAUUUAUCCCAACCAAAGCAUUCUCAAAUACAAUAUUUCAUUAUGUACGACUUUCUGUUACGAAAUAUUCGCUUUAUUCAUUAGAAAUAUAAUCUAAACUCUCAAUCUGCGCCGUUCAUUUCUAGUGCGUCGUUUUUCCUCACUACAUGCCAUGACUCGAGGUAUCUUUUCUAAAAAGCCCUUCCCAUUCUUGUCAACUUGACCAAAGAAUAUCUCCCUUCCCUUUUCUAUUUUUUCUAUUUUUCUUGUUUCUAGAUUUGAUUUUCUGACACAAACACCAGUUUUAUAUAAUUGGUAUUAUUUUUUCUUAUUUAUAAUAAUCCAUUUUUUUCUUGUAGUUAAUGAUCUUAUUAUUAUGCUAUUAAUUAAUAAUUA
RNAcentral lists this long non-coding RNA (439 nucleotides) under Ananas comosus (pineapple). RNAcentral's name for it is "long non-coding RNA (ACOM_LNC027496)". The record is from RNAcentral. Lineage: Eukaryota; Viridiplantae; Streptophyta; Magnoliopsida; Poales; Bromeliaceae.